CGUGCUUAACACAUGCAAGUCGAACGGUAAGGCCCUUCGGGGUACACGAGUGGCGAACGGGUGAGUAACACGUGGGUGAUCUGCCCUGCACUUCGGGAUAAGCCUGGGAAACUGGGUCUAAUACCGGAUAUGACCUCUGCCCUGCAUGGGUGGGGUGGAAAGCUUUUGCGGUGUGGGAUGGGCCCCGCGGCCUAUCAGCUUGUUGGUGGGGUUAAGGCCUACCAAGGCGACGACGGGUAGCCGGCCUGAGAGGGUGUCCGGCCACACUGGGACUGAGGUACGGCCCCAGACUCC
RNAcentral lists this ribosomal RNA (294 nucleotides) under unidentified marine bacterioplankton. RNAcentral describes it as "partial 16S ribosomal RNA". It matches the Rfam family "Bacterial small subunit ribosomal RNA", at positions 43 to 339 of the family's 1533-position model. The record is from RNAcentral.